CACACCUCGCCCACGCCACCGAUCAAGAACGCCGCGUUACCUACACCAUCUAAACACCGCAAAACGCCAAGGCCCUCACACACGACCAUCGUAGCUUGGUUCACACGAAGAUCAGCCGUUGCACUAUCACUUGGGGUGGUGUAGAGAGGCCUCCGAAUAUUCUGCCUAAAUCCAGCGUAAUUGCCAAUCUACAGCGGGAUUACGUCAUUCCGCCCAGCUGUCAUAAGAUAAAACCACCAACAAGAGCAGGAGAGGAGGCUGGGCAGCGAUACGGCGGCUGGACGCUAAGAAAACUCAUCGUAUAGGAAGGAAAAUAAGGAAAUCAUUUCAUUCUGUGUGGCCAUUAAUGCAGCAACCCCCUACCACCCCCUCAACCCGUUCGGCGCUCCGGCACACCAGGCUUAAAAAAAAAAAAAAAAACGCACCUACCAAAACGCACACCCCUUAAAAAAGCGUCAAAAAUUCUAACAUCUCCCCCAUCGUCCAGAAAAAAAUAGAAAAAAAAGGAAGUGAAUUUUCCCGACUCCCCCGUGCAAUUUUGCUAUCACUAUGUAUAUCAGGCUUACGACACAAACACCCCCAUAAAACAAAACAUUAAGAGGAACACACGAUUAUGACACUUCAAGGGCUAAAGAUAAGCGAGCGUAAAAAUAGAGUGUGUGCUGCGCCCGUUUUGUCACUGGCCAGUUAUUAGACGGCGGGAACAAGCGACCGAGAUGGAGACCUCAAAACGCCUCCACCGGGAACACACACUUGUUAUUAUUAUUUUCCCGCCGCCUAGUAUCACAGCAGUUUUUUCCUUCAGUAUGUUUAUGGCCUAAUGUGUCGAUUACGGGAAGUUUUCUUUAUACAUAUCUUUUUUUUCUCAGGGACAGAGGCCGUUUUGGUGUAAUUAUAAUCACAUCCAUUAUGUCAUCAAGCAUUACUGGCCGCCAUUCGUGUUUGCUUUCCAUUCAUGUUUCAUAAUUACAGGUUUUUAUCGAAUGAAAAAAAAAAAAGUCCAGCAGGCUUGAUUAUUAAGCAAUUUGGGGACCGCGUGGCAGCCGCGUCGGGCCGCCUCCUCGGUAAUACAGUCAUUAUUUCCAUAGGCCCAUUCCUGCCCCACUUUCAGAAGAGAGCGAUAACCGGACAGAGUUAACACAUUUUUACACCGGACAUUCACAUAACUGAUCGGCCGCUGGGUAGCCAUGUUAGCAGUAAACACAAACACCCUGCCGGCAUUACUACACCCAAAACAGGAGAAAUUCCAAUAAAAAUAGUAUAAACGGCUACCAUGAGCUUGCCCUCCCCCCUCCCUCCCUGCCCCACGAAACAGAGGUCUGUAAGAGCGAGAGGAGGGACCGAGAGGGAGGGAUAGAGAGAGAAGGGUAAACCAGAGGCCGUCCUGACCACCACGACCACCGCCACCACAGAGCCUCGCCUCAAUACCCCACCCCACCCGGCCGCCACCGCCGUCGCUGCUGCCGCCGCUGGCCGCCGCCACCACCACCUCCCGCCAUGUUCUAGUGGACGCUUACCCCGCGGCGGCUGGGGGACGCCACAGUUCUCCCCUCCAUUCCGCUCGCCCUGUGGCGUCUCUCCGGGGCGGACAGGGUGAGAGGAGGCCACACCGAAGAUCCUGACAACGCACUCCCACCUCGAUACACCGUCCAAGACCCCUCCGUCCAACGUCCAGCAGGAGCGACUCGCCCUCUGUGUGACAGGUCAAGCCAGAGUUCCCGAAACGAAGGAGGAGGAGAUAUCGUGACCCAGGGACGCGCACGAGUGAUUGGAUCCUGAAGAAGUGGUGCAGCCAAUCAGGGCAGCGGCAGGGAAGGAUCAGUGACCAUGGCAGAAGAGAGCUCCUCCCAUUCGGCCUCCAUCUCACCACUCCCUCCCGGCGUGUCUUCGCGCCUCCUGCCUCUUCCCGGCCUCUUCUUUCCUCAAGUCAAGUGUCGGAACACCCCGCAGAGUCAACAGUGGGGUAACUCCAGGCCAGAUAUGGGCCGAGAUAAGUCAAUAAAGUCGCACUCGUAGCCAGCCGACCGCAGACAGAUGAGAAUAUUUACGGAGAAUUAAUUUUCUUACCCUCUGGCCUGCCAUUUGAAGAUGCUUGUCGUUUUAAAAAGUCUUAGAGAGGCUGAAAGAGAGUACUGUGGCUUUGUUGAUAUCUUUCCUCAUCUAGUAUCCUGCCUUGACAUCUCAGCCCGUGAUGAGACGUAUAAAUAUUUCGCCCUGACACUAAUGUUCUCUCAAACACCCGAAGCAGCUGCAGGGCGAGGAGAAGGAGAUAAGACCACCAAUACACUUUAUUAAUCCUUCUUUAUCCCUGCACCCGAAUUUAGAGCCGCUGCACAAUGUCCUGAGAGCGUCUCGAGCCAAGAGGGUUAGCGCUACACAUCGAUUAUCAGCUUAUGUAGCCAAACGGCUCACUUUGUUUAUUUGCUCAAGAUUUUGACGAUUGUUUAAUAUGAUAAAGAACUGUAAUUCUUCCUAGUGAAAAUAUGCUGUCCAUUGCUUUUCUUUUCCUACUGAAGUGAAAGAAUAUAUCCAUACGUAGUAACUUUCUAAUUAUUCUUGUGUCUUUAUUUAAUGGUAAGCUAGCAUAGACAUUAAUGACUAACACAAAAUAGAUAUGACAUUUUUCCAUGUCUGCAACGUUUUCCUUUUUUUUCUUUUUUUUCAAGAAUUACUUGAGAAGUAGGGAAUUUUUUUUUUCACAUAUGGGUGACAUUUUGUGAUUUAAAUGUGGGCCAUUUUAGCUGAGUCCGCCCUUACCUAGACUCAUCCCCGUACUGUAUUGCUAGGUUCAGGUGCACGACGCUUUAUUGCCCAGGUACAGGAUCACGAAAAAUACUAAUCGACAGUCACACAUAAAUUGCUCACGCGUCCCAAUCUUCAGUAAAUAAUGGUGCGUGUCUGCCGCUGUGGUCAAUACCAAAUUUUUCUUUUAAUGCUAGGGCGGCGGCGCGUAUACCCGAGGCCGAGUCCCAGGUAUUCCACUGUGAAUAAAUAUAAAAGAUUUACUCGAGCCAGACAUGCAGAUCUGCCAAACGUUGCCUGGAUCCAUACGGCUCGUGUUUCAUGGUCAAUAAUUCUGGUUAUACUUACGAGCUGGACUUCUGGUGUGUAAUUGAUUAAGGAACAUAAAUCUUUAAGGCGAUAGUAGGUAGAGUAUUUGUGCAUGGGAAGGUAGUGUAAGAUUUUAAUAUUUUAGCGCGAGGGAGCAGGAAGGGAAACUGCUGCUCCCUUAAGGCAUUCCUCUAUUAACGAAUUAUUCGGAUAAUAAUUAUAAAAUUAAUUACAUAAUUACCUGUAAUUUAAUUAUUAUAUUAUGUAGGUAAAUAGAAAAUGGCACAGCUAUAAACUGGAUUAAAUUUUGUCAAUGUUUAUAGGACAAGGUCCAGACAGGUCGUGGAGGACGGCUUGUUAGGAGCUUAGGCGUCGUAGAAAAUGGACAUCAAGCUUAUCAAUGGUGUCAAGAAAUAUUAAUACAUA
Molecule: long non-coding RNA, 3477 nt
Organism: Portunus trituberculatus (swimming crab)
Lineage: Eukaryota; Metazoa; Arthropoda; Malacostraca; Decapoda; Portunidae
Exons: 5
Source: RefSeq, a predicted model, not a curated record